Molecule: ribosomal RNA, 253 nt
Filed under: uncultured bacterium
Lineage: Bacteria
Description: partial 16S ribosomal RNA
Rfam family: Bacterial small subunit ribosomal RNA
Source: RNAcentral
UACGGGGGGGGCAAGCGUUGUUCGGAAUUACUGGGCGUAAAGGGCUCGUAGGCGGCCAACUAAGUCAGACGUGAAAUCCCCAGGCUCAACCUGGGAACUGCGUCUGAUACUGGAUGGCUUGAAUCCGGGAGAGGGAUGCAGAAUUCCAGGUGUAGCGGUGAAAUGCGUAGAUAUCGUGAGGAAGACCAGUGGCGAAGGCGGAUCUCUGGACAGUUCCUGACGCUGAGGCGCGAAGGCCAGGGGAGCAAACGGG